Canariomyces notabilis is the source of this 85-nucleotide non-coding RNA. The record is from the annotation of a RefSeq genome assembly. Lineage: Eukaryota; Fungi; Ascomycota; Sordariomycetes; Sordariales; Chaetomiaceae.
GCCCGCAUGGCGCAGUGGUGGCGCGCAUCACUAGUAGAGGUACUAGAUCAUGAUGAGGUCGUCAGUUCGAUUCUGGCUGUGGGCA